This 450-nucleotide ribosomal RNA is filed under the name uncultured bacterium. RNAcentral's name for it is "partial 16S ribosomal RNA". It matches the Rfam family "Bacterial small subunit ribosomal RNA", at positions 354 to 796 of the family's 1533-position model. The record is from RNAcentral.
GUGGGGAAUCUUCCGCAAUGGACGAAAGUCUGACGGAGCAACGCCGCGUGAGUGAAGAAGGUUUUCGGAUCGUAAAGCUCUUUCGUUAGGGACGAACGUGCUCUUUGUGAAUAAUGAGGAGUAAUGACGGUACCUAAAUAAGAAGCCACGGCUAACUACGUGCCAGCAGCCGCGGUAAUACGUAGGUGGCAAGCGUUGUCCGGACUUAUUGGGCGUAAAGCGCGCGCAGGCGGGAUAUCAAGUCUGUCUUAAAAGUGCGAGGCUCAACCUCGUGAGGGGACAGAAACUGGUAUUCUUGAGUGUCGGAGAGGAAAGUGGAAUUCCAAGUGUAGCGGUGAAAUGCGUAGAGAUUUGGAAGAACACCAGUGGCGAAGGCGACUUUCUGGACGAUGUCUGACGCUGAGGCGCGAAAGCUAGGGGAGCGAACGGGAUUAGAAACCCUAGUAGUCC